RNAcentral lists this ribosomal RNA (496 nucleotides) under uncultured bacterium. RNAcentral describes it as "partial 16S ribosomal RNA". It matches the Rfam family "Bacterial small subunit ribosomal RNA", at positions 28 to 506 of the family's 1533-position model. The record is from RNAcentral.
GAUGAACGCUGGCGGCGUGCCUAAUACAUGCAAGUCGAGCGAACAGACGAGGAGCUUGCUCCUCUGACGUUAGCGGCGGACGGGUGAGUAACACGUGGAUAACCUACCUAUAAGACUGGGAUAACUUCGGGAAACCGGAGCUAAUACCGGAUAAUAUAUUGAACCGCAUGGUUCAAUAGUGAAAGACGGUUUUGCUGUCACUUAUAGAUGGAUCCGCGCCGCAUUCGCUAGUUGGUAAGGUAACGGCUUACCAAGGCAACGAUGCGUAGCCGACCUGAGGGGGGGAUCCGCCCCGGGGGAAAGAGGACACGGCCCCACCCCCGGAGGGAGGCACAGGUGGGAAUUCUACCGCAGGGGGCGAAAUCCUGAAGGAGAAACGCCGCGUAAGUGAAAAAGGUUCUGGUAUCGAAAAACUUGUUUAGUGGGGAAGAAAAAAUGUGAAGGUAACUAUGGGCGUUUUAGCGGUACCGAAGAAGAAACCCGCGGCAAAUUCCGG